RNAcentral lists this ribosomal RNA (374 nucleotides) under uncultured bacterium. RNAcentral's name for it is "bacterial SSU rRNA". It matches the Rfam family "Bacterial small subunit ribosomal RNA", at positions 521 to 895 of the family's 1533-position model. The record is from RNAcentral.
UAAUACGUAGGCAGCGAGCGUUGUUCGGAGUUACUGGGCGUAAAGAGUGCGUAGGCGGUGACCUAAGUCUGGUGUGAAAUCUCCCGGCUCAACUGGGAGGGUGCGCCGGAAACUGGGUUGCUUGAGUGUGGGAGAGGCUAGCGGAAUUCCUGGUGUAGCGGUGAAAUGCGUAGAGAUCAGGAGGAACACCUGCGGUGUAGACGGCUGGCUGGACCACGACUGACGCUGAGGCACGAAAGCGUGGGGAGCAAACAGGAUUAGAUACCCUGGUAGUCCACGCCCUAAACGAUGCAUACUUGGUGUGGGUGAUUCAUUUCAUCCGUGCCGGAGCUAACGCGUUAAGUAUGCCGCCUGGGGAGUACGGUCGCAAGGCU